Molecule: unclassified non-coding RNA, 1005 nt
Filed under: Hevea brasiliensis (rubber tree)
Lineage: Eukaryota; Viridiplantae; Streptophyta; Magnoliopsida; Malpighiales; Euphorbiaceae
Source: RNAcentral
CUCAUUAGUAACACGCAAGUUUCUUCCUCCAGGAAGGAGCUCCUCUUCUGUUUGCUCUCCAUAUUCAUUAUUUACAAUGACAAAGUAGAGUUCCAACUCAGAAAUGUCACCUUGAUAGUGCUUUAGGAAAAUAAGAUGACGAUAUAAUUCUGGGUCCAACGAGGGCAGGUCAUUCAGAUAGUUGAACUUUUGUUUUAAUUUGCUCAAGAAGAAUGUUGCGAAUGGUAUAUCAACAAGAAUACCUUCAAACAUAGCCUUUGCAAGAAGAGUUCCAAGAAAAUGGAAAAACUGAAGAUGCUGUUCAUGUAUCAUUCCUGAGCCAGGAUUAGGGUAGAGUAGAUGAUCUGCUGUUUCCUUAAAUAACCCAUACUGCACAUCAAAUGCUGCUCGAGUAAUAUUCUCCAUGAAAUCUUUAAAAAUUCCACCGCCAUCAAUGCCAGCCUCCUCAACUCCAAGCUCAUUGACAAAUGUUACACGGAUCAAUCCUCGAAGAUCUUCUUCAGACAAUGCACUCAUCUGGUUAUAAGCAUCUUCCAGAAUACGAUCCCGUCGAAUUCUGAAUCUGUUUCUUGUGAAAACACCAUCCACCACAUGUCUUUGCCUCACUGCCAAUAAUUGUGAAUUGAAUAUCUUAACCCUGCUUGUAAAAGGUACCAAAAAUGGAGCUCGCUUCAAUAUGUCAUUUGCUUUGGUUCCAUAUAUUACAGCCUGAGAAAUAAAGAAAUCAUCAACACCAUCAGCAUGGAAGUCACAGGGUGGUGUAAAUUGCCGUCUGUUGUUCCAAUCUUGCAACUGAGAGAGGAGUUCAGAAGCUACAACGCUAACUCUGUGUUUGAUAGAUUCAACUGAGUUCCGCUUAUAAGCAGAAGUGUUCGUAACCAAUUUCACCACAUUGUUAUGAACCAUUGGAUUCACCCAUAGGAGUUGCCAUAGGGCCUGUCUCAGAAUAAUAAUUAGGCAUCGGAUAUCUUUCAACGAUAGUGGCUUCUCCUGUUCAUAGAACUC